CUUCAGGCUCUCCAACCCAUUGUGAACAUACCUACGUUUCCCUCGGCGGGUACAGCGCGCGUCGCCCCAGGGCGUCGCGCGUCCGCCGGGGGCACCAAACUCGAAUUCCAGUGUCUCUCUGAGGGGCGAAAGCCCGCUAAAAAAAUAAAUCAAAACUUUCAACAAUGGAUCUCUUGGCUCUGGCAUCGAUGAAGAACGCAGCGAAAUGCGAUAAGUAAUGUGAAUUGCAGAAUUCAGCGAAUCAUCGAAUCUUUGAACGCACAUUGCGCCCGCCGGUACUCCGGCGGGCAUGCCUGUCCGAGCGUCAUUUCAACCCUCGGGCCCCCGCCUAGCGGAGGCCCGGCGUUGGGGAUCAGGGGCCUCAGCGGCCUCUGCCCCCUAAAUUCAGUGGCGGUCGCGCCGCAGCCUCCCCUGCGUAGUAGCACACCUCGCACCGGAGAGCGGCACGGCCACGCCGUAAAACCCCCCAACUUCUCAAGGUUGACCUCGGAUCAGGUAGGAAUACCCGCUGAACUUAAGCAUAUCAAUAAGCGGAGGAAAAGAAACCAACAGGGAUUGCCUCAGUAACGGCGAGUGAAGCGGCAACAGCUCAAAUUUGAAAUCUGGCCGCAAGGCCCGAGUUGUAAUUUGCAGAGGAUGCUUUUGGCGAGGUGCCUUCCGAGUUCCCUGGAACGGGACGCCAUAGAGGGUGAGAGCCCCGUACGGUAGCGCCACCGAGCCUCUGUAAAGCUCCUUCGACGAGUCGAGUAGUUUGGGAAUGCUGCUCUAAAUGGGAGGUGUAAGUCUUCUAAAGCUAAAUACCGGCCAGAGACCGAUAGCGCACAAGUAGAGUGAUCGAAAGAUGAAAAGCACUUUGAAAAGAGGGUUAAAAAGUACGUGAAAUUGUUGAAAGGGAAGCAUUUAUGACCAGACUUGGGCUUGGUUGAACAUCCGGCGUUCUCGCCGGUGCACUCUGCCAGCCCAGGCCAGCAUCAGUUUGCCCCGGGGGAUAAAGGUAGCGGGAAUGUGACUCCCCACGGGGAGUGUUAUAGCCCGCUGCGCAAUGCCCUGGGGCGGACUGAGGAA
RNAcentral lists this ribosomal RNA (1065 nucleotides) under Hypocreaceae sp. M20317P30CC1145. RNAcentral describes it as "eukaryotic LSU rRNA". The stretch from base 482 to 1065 matches the Rfam family "Eukaryotic large subunit ribosomal RNA", at positions 1 to 595 of the family's 3401-position model. Lineage: Eukaryota; Fungi; Ascomycota; Sordariomycetes; Hypocreales; Hypocreaceae. The record is from RNAcentral.